Numida meleagris (helmeted guineafowl) is the source of this 528-nucleotide long non-coding RNA. RefSeq lists it as uncharacterized. The transcript is spliced from 3 exons. The record is from RefSeq and is a predicted model, not a curated record. NCBI's taxonomy places the organism in Eukaryota, Metazoa, Chordata, Aves, Galliformes, Numididae.
CUGCAGGGCGAGGGCUGGCAGCCGCCGGCAGGAGGGAGAUGCGCGCACACACCAGUGCGGAGAGAGAGAGAGGAUGGAUGGAUGGAGCGAUGCACAGAGCCGAGAGGAGUGCCUCUCGCCAAGCCGCCCCCUCCCUUCCAUGUGACGCAGAUGUGCUCUGGGGCCAUCAGUUUGAAGAGACACAGGGAAAGGGAUGCUUCAGUCAUCCUCACGCAAUGCAAUUGGACUUGAUGACCUCUGAAGAUUCAUUCCAAUUGUUCUGUCCUGUCCUAUCCUGUCAUACAUGAGGAAGUUAAAAAUAUUAACAGAGUUACUGUGCAUACAUACUGUGUAUGCUAUGGGUAUGUAUUUUUUCAACUAUAUGGAAGUUAGUAUAUAAUUGACACCCAUCAAAGUAAAAAUGAAAAAUGAAAAGAACAUUCAGAUAUCCCUGUUUUAGCAGGCUUUUGACUGACAUUAAGUAUAUUGUAGAUAUUCUGAGCAAUUGAAACAAAUUAAUAAAACUGCAUCUUUUCACCUUCAUGUGUA